RNAcentral lists this transfer RNA (69 nucleotides) under Camelus ferus (Wild Bactrian camel). It matches the Rfam family "tRNA". From Rfam's summary of the family: Transfer RNA (tRNA) molecules are approximately 80 nucleotides in length. Their secondary structure includes four short double-helical elements and three loops (D, anti-codon, and T loops). The record is from Rfam by way of RNAcentral. Lineage: Eukaryota; Metazoa; Chordata; Mammalia; Artiodactyla; Camelidae.
GGAUAGCUCAAGUGGUAGAGCGCAUGCUUAGCAUGCAUGAGGUCGUGGGUUCAAUCCCUGGUAUGUCCU